AACGAACGCUGGCGGCAUGCCUAACACAUGCAAGUCGAACGAGACCUCCGGGUCUAGUGGCGCACGGGUGCGUAACGCGGGGGAACCUGCCCGUAGGUUCGGAAUAACUCCCCGAAAGGGGUGCUAAUACAGGAGAAUGUCUUCGGACCAAAGAUUUAUCGCCUUUGGAUGGGCCCGCGUUGGCUUAGCUGGUUGGUAGGGUAAAAGCCUACCAAGGCGACGAUCCAUAGCUGGUCUGAGAGGAUGAUCAGCCACACUGGGACUGAGGCACGGCCCAGACUCCUACGGGAGGCAGCAGUGGGUAAUAUUGGACAAUGGGCGAAAGCCUGAUCCCGCACUGCCGCGUGAGUGAUGAAGGCCUUAGGGUUGUAAAGCUCUUUUACCCGGGAUGAUAAUGACAGUACCGGGAGAAUAAGCACCGGCUAACUACGUG
RNAcentral lists this ribosomal RNA (433 nucleotides) under uncultured bacterium. RNAcentral's name for it is "partial 16S ribosomal RNA". It matches the Rfam family "Bacterial small subunit ribosomal RNA", at positions 29 to 507 of the family's 1533-position model. The record is from RNAcentral.